RNAcentral lists this transfer RNA (66 nucleotides) under Cautires sp. UPOL 000262. RNAcentral describes it as "tRNA-Phe". The record is from RNAcentral. Lineage: Eukaryota; Metazoa; Arthropoda; Insecta; Coleoptera; Lycidae.
AUAUUUUAAGGCCAUUGCCUUCUUAAUAUCUUCAAUAUUAUACUUUUAAAAUAAGCUAUUAAAAUA